AAUAAUCGGUAUGGGUCAUGAGAGUGAGAACCCAGAGACGGAAUCUGAGACAAGAUUCCGGGCCNUACGGGGCGCAGCAGGCGCGAAACCUUUACACUGCACGACAGUGCGAUAGGGGGAUCCCAAGUNCACAGGCAUAGCGCCUGUGCUUUUCGGUACCGUAAGGUGGUACCAGANUAAG
RNAcentral lists this ribosomal RNA (181 nucleotides) under Halorubrum trapanicum. Its description in RNAcentral is "16S ribosomal RNA". It matches the Rfam family "Archaeal small subunit ribosomal RNA", at positions 259 to 439 of the family's 1478-position model. Lineage: Archaea; Methanobacteriati; Methanobacteriota; Halobacteria; Halobacteriales; Haloferacaceae. The record is from RNAcentral.